UACCAGCACCCCGAGUGGUCGGGACGAUUAUUGGGCCUAAAGCAUCCGUAGCCGGUCCUGCAAGUCUUCCGUUAAAUCCAACUGCUCAACAGAUGGGCUGCGGGGGAUACUACAGGGCUAGGAGGCGGGAGAGGCAAGCGGUACUUUAUGGGUAGGGGUAAAAUCCGUUGAUCCAUAGAAGACCACCAGUGGCGAAGGCGGCUUGCCAGAACGCGCUCGACGGUGAGGGAUGAAAGCUGGGGGGAGCAAACCGGG
This 255-nucleotide ribosomal RNA is filed under the name uncultured bacterium. RNAcentral describes it as "partial 16S ribosomal RNA". It matches the Rfam family "Archaeal small subunit ribosomal RNA", at positions 474 to 728 of the family's 1478-position model. The record is from RNAcentral.